Acanthosepion pharaonis is the source of this 114-nucleotide non-coding RNA. Lineage: Eukaryota; Metazoa; Mollusca; Cephalopoda; Sepiida; Sepiidae. The record is from the annotation of a GenBank genome assembly.
UUACAGCCAUAUCAUCUUGAAAUACCAGUUCUCAUAUGGUCACCGAAGUUAAGCAAUGUUGGGACUGGUCAGUACCUAGAUGGGUGAUUACUUGGGAAUAUCAGGUGCUGUAAG